Molecule: ribosomal RNA, 433 nt
Filed under: uncultured bacterium
Lineage: Bacteria
Description: partial 16S ribosomal RNA
Rfam family: Bacterial small subunit ribosomal RNA
Source: RNAcentral
AACGAACGCUGGCGGCAUGCCUAACACAUGCAAGUCGAACGAGACCUUCGGGUCUAGUGGCGCACGGGUGCGUAACGCGUGGGAACCUGCCUUUAGGUUCAGAAUAACUCAGAGAAAUUUGAGCUAAUACCGGAUGAUGUCUUCGGACCAAAGAUUUAUCGCCUUUAGAUGGGCCCGCGUUGGAUUAGCUAGUUGGUGGGGUAAAGGCCUACCAAGGCGACGAUCCAUAGCUGGUCUGAGAGGAUGAUCAGCCACACUGGGACUGAGACACGGCCCAGACUCCUACGGGAGGCAGCAGUGGGGAAUAUUGGACAAUGGGCGAAAGCCUGAUCCAGCAAUGCCGCGUGAGUGAUGAAGGCCUUAGGGUUGUAAAGCUCUUUUACCCGAGAUGAUAAUGACAGUAUCGGGAGAAUAAGCUCCGGCUAACUCCGUG